Molecule: long non-coding RNA, 1428 nt
Organism: Triticum dicoccoides
Lineage: Eukaryota; Viridiplantae; Streptophyta; Magnoliopsida; Poales; Poaceae
Exons: 5
Source: RefSeq, a predicted model, not a curated record
UGCCACCCAAGACGGCCGUCGGACAAGCCCGUGCGGGUGCCGGUGAUGGUGGCGGCAGGGAUCUAGUCGCUCUACCCCUUGGUGGAAGACUGCGGAUCCUAGGCGCGCGCGGGAGGUAAAGCUGGUCGGAGGCUUGGCCGUGAGGGCGGUGAGCCACCGGCGGGAGUUGGUCGCCACGCAGUGCUGCCCUGCGUCAGAUCUGGAGGUUUCUUUCACAAGUAAACAUUGCAAAGUUACCGGUUGCGUCAUACCUGCCUUAAGAUUCAUGGUCCCGGUUGGUACUGCCAGCAGCCUUGCCGGUCCAAGCAAUCAAGAUCAUCAGCAAGUCAAUAACGGAGACGGUCGAGCACUGUCAUCACACUGAACCUGCAACACCAGUGAGAUGACUGAAGAUUGGGUUGUGGUUGGAGUGAGAGGAGAAGCAAAUCACUUGACCAGUUGAAUCCUUGGGUGUACAAGACGGCCGAGCUGUGACAGGUGAAGGAGCCACUGCCGCUGCCCGCGCCGAAGAAGCGCAACUGCUCCAUGGUGUUCACCCUCAAGGAGAUGGAGGAGGCCACCGGCAUGUUCAGGAGAACUUCCUCUUUGGUUCGAUACACAUACAUUAUUUAACUGUGAUUUAGAGUUAUGAUUAUUUGAUGUGGCGAACAUAGAAUCCUGCCUGCGCAUUUCUGUGAUUAUUUUGUACCCUGAAUUCAAGUAAAUUAAGUUGCCUGUACCAAGUUGAGUAUUUAGUUCGAUGAGUAAUUUUCUGUCUGGAGAUGAUGAGCAGAGCAUAAAAAUGAUUGCUUAUCUGUAUACUGUUGUUGCUGUAGUUUAAAAGGCUCAAGAUCUUCUACUCACAUGCUUGUUUAUCUCACAUCUCUGAGCCAAAGUUAUCUCACAUGCUUGUUUAUUCAAUAUUUUUCUGACAUACGCGUAAUACAGAUGGCGUGCCCAAAAUGAAAUCUGACCGGAGACUUUGAAAGAUCAGAGAUUCUCUUGAUUGGAGUGGAGAGGAGCAGAGACGAGAGGAGCAGCAGAAGUGGACAGCGCAACGGCUGACUUUGAGCUCUUGAUUGGAGUGGGGGAGGCGGCCGACGAAGGAUCUGUGGCCAGCAGCGAAGGAUCCGAAGUUGUGGCGGAGCAGGCAGCCGGCGGGAAGGGCGGCCGGCGAGGGAGCUGCGGACCUUGGCGUGGAAGGGCGGCCGAUGAGGGAGCUGCGGACCGCGGCGGGGAAGGACGCCGGAUGAGCCCGGCGAAAGGGAGCAGCGACGGCGGAGAAGCCUGGCGUAGGGGAGGAGCGACGGAGGAAGACGCCUCCCGAUGGAUUUCAAAUCGGGGGUAGUAUUGUACUUUCACACUAUUUCACCUGGUCGGAGUGAUGCCCCCAACGACAAUUAUUUCAGAACGGAGGGAGUAAUACAAAGGAUGUUGUUCUCCUAGAAA